UCUUUUCCACACUGCGAGACCUCUAGUAGGCGGAUGCCCUUCAGACGUUAAACCCAGCUCUUCUGCAAACAGCCGUCUGUUCCUGGGUGGGGAAGAUCCCCUGGAGGAGGACGUGGCAACCCACUCCAGAUUCUUGCCUGGAGAAUCCCAUGGACAGAGCAGCCUGGCGGGGUACAGUCCACAGGGGUGACUGAACACACAGCACACAAUUCCCCAACCAGGGAUUGAGCCCUGUCCCUCGGCAGUGAGAGCUCAGAGUCCCAACCACUGGACUGCCAGGGAACUCCCAUAUUUUACUAAUUUGUUAAAAAUUGAGUGUGGAAGGAAGAUAAGGGGAGUGCCCGGUCCGGCUGGGAUGGGCCACCGAGACAUGGGUGAUGACAGUGGAGCUCGGGCUCGGAAGUGGCUUGCGUCAGCCUCUGAGCCGGCAGCCAGAUGCUCUUCUUGCUUGAUGGUCAUCAUCCCAGAGGUGGGGAGUCACUGUAGUUUCCACAGAGGACUGACUGUACCAGCUGCUUUGCAUACAUCAUCUAUGAUUCCCUCGGUAUCUCCGCAAGGUUGGUGUUAUUAUCCACAAGUUCCGGAUGGGAGGAAAGACUCAGAGAAGUCAAGGAACACCCUCUGACUCACACAGCUGCUGGCUGGUGCUGACUGACUCCAGGGGCCCCUCUGUCUCCUUGGUGGGUUUCUGAGUGAUCCCAGGAUGUGAAGUAAGAGGGGCCUGUUUCCUCCUGAGCCUCAGAUGUGCACACUGAUCUGUCCCUCAGACCACCAUGAAUUUAGGAUGAGGAGGGUGAGCAGGGAAGUUUCUUCUGAUGGAGGCACAAGGCUUUCCUCAAUCUAAGUCUGGGGUGGAACUGACUCAUGGCCAUGGUUCUGGUUUCCCAACCUGUGGAGUGAGCAUCCUUGACGCUGCACCAGGAGUGAACGAUGGACUGGGAAAUGUAAACUUUGUGUUUUUGGCUACUCUGGGUCUUCCUUGCAGCUUUUCCCCAUUUGUGGCAUAUGGACUCUCGAGGCCUGUUGCCCUGAGGCAUCAGUUCCCCACCAGGGAGCGAACCUGUGUCCCCUGCAUCGGAAGGCAGACUCUUAACCAUCGGACCACCAGGGAAGUCCCUGGGAAAUGUGAACUUUGGAUGAGCUGUCCUAAAGCUCCUCUCUCCUGGUUCUCCCACAGAAUACUAUGGCAGCCUGAGUCCACAUCUCUACCCUUUGACAUCCACUGCUGA
This 1229-nucleotide long non-coding RNA is filed under the name Bos indicus x Bos taurus (hybrid cattle). Its description in RNAcentral is "lncRNA (ENSBIXG00005024183.1)". Lineage: Eukaryota; Metazoa; Chordata; Mammalia; Artiodactyla; Bovidae. The record is from RNAcentral.